This 88-nucleotide transfer RNA is filed under the name Candidatus Parcubacteria bacterium. Its description in RNAcentral is "tRNA-Ser". It matches the Rfam family "tRNA". From Rfam's summary of the family: Transfer RNA (tRNA) molecules are approximately 80 nucleotides in length. Their secondary structure includes four short double-helical elements and three loops (D, anti-codon, and T loops). The record is from RNAcentral. Lineage: Bacteria; Candidatus Parcubacteria.
GGAGAGGUGGCCGAAUGGUUAAGGCAAGGUCCUGCUAAGACCUGUCCGCCUAAAAGCGGACUUGUGGGUUCGAGUCCCACCCUCUCCG